RNAcentral lists this ribosomal RNA (371 nucleotides) under uncultured organism. Its description in RNAcentral is "partial 16S ribosomal RNA". It matches the Rfam family "Bacterial small subunit ribosomal RNA", at positions 527 to 896 of the family's 1533-position model. The record is from RNAcentral.
GUAGGUGGCAAGCGUUGUCCGGAAUUAUUGGGCGCAAAGCGCGCGCAGGCGGUUCUUUAAGUCUGAUGUGAAAGCCCACGGCUCAACCGUGGAGGGUCAUUGGAAACUGGAGAACUUGAGUACAGAAGAGGAAAGCGGAAUUCCACGUGUAGCGGUGAAAUGCGUAGAGAUGUGGAGGAACACCAGUGGCGAAGGCGGCUUUCUGGUCUGUAACUGACGCUGAGGCGCGAAAGCGUGGGGGAGCAAACAGGAUUAGAUACCCUGGUAGUCCACGCCGUAAACGAUGAGUGCUAAGUGUUAGGGGGUUUCCGCCCCUUAGUGCUGCGGCUAACGCAUUAAGCACUCCGCCUGGGAGUACGGCCGCAAGGCUG